GCCGAAAAUGAUGGGGACUAAGUAAUUUGCCGAAACUGUGCGAUAUAUUUUGUUAUAUCGGUAGGGGAGCGUUCUGUUGUAGGUAGAAGUAUUAGCGGAAGCGGGUAUGGACGAAGCAGAAGUGAGAAUGUCGGCUUGAGUAACGAANAUAUAGGUGAGAAUCCUAUACCCCGAAAACCCAAGGUUUCCUCCGGAAGGCUCGUCCGCGGAGGGUAAGUCAGGGCCUAAGGCGAGGCUGAAAAGCGUAGUCGAUGGAUAACGGGUUAAUAUUCCCGUACCGUUUUUUAUUGAUAUCGAGGGACGGAGAAGGCUAAGCUAUCCAGAUAUUGGUUACUGGUUUAAACGUUCAAGAUGUUGAGAAGUGGAGAAAACACUUUGAGUUGAGACGUGAUGACGAAACGCUAAGGCGUUGAAGUAGUGUAUGUCAAACUUCCAAGAAAAGCUCGGAAUAUUAUAAAUAAAAAAUGCCUGUACCAUAACCGACACAGGUGGGUAGGUAGAGAAUACUAAGGGGCGCGAGAUAACUCUCUCUAAGGAACUCGGCAAAAUAACUCCGUAACUUCGGGAGAAGGAGUGCCUUAUUUAUAAGGUUGCAAUAACAAGAUCCAAGCAACUGUUUAUCAAAAACACAGGUCUCCGCUAAGUUGUAAGACGAUGUAUGGGGGCUGACGCCUGCCCAGUGCCAGAAGGUUAAAGAAGUUGGUUAGUGUAUGCGAAGCUGAUAACUGAAGCCCUGGUGAACGGCGGCCGUAACUAUAACGGUCCUAAGGUAGCGAAAUUCCUUGUCGGGUAAGUUCCGACCCGCACGAAAGGCGUAAUGAUUUGGAUACUGUCUCGGAGAGAGGCUCGGUGAAAUAGACUUGUCUGUGAAGAUGCGGACUACCUGCACCAGGACAGAAAGACCCUAUGAAGCUUUACUGUAACUUGAAAUUGGAAUUGGACUUUACUUGCGCAGUAUAGGUGGGAAGCGUUGAAAAUAUUCUUGCGGGAAUAUUAGAGCUAUCAGUGAGAUACCACUCUUGUAAUGUUAGAUUUCUAACUUUUAACCAUUAUCUGGUAAAAGAACAGUUUCAGGUGGGCAGUUUGACUGGGGCGGUCGCCUCCCAAAUGGUAACGGAGGCGUACAAAGGUUUCCUCUGAACGGGUAGAAAUCGUAUCUAGAGUGUAAAGGCAUAAGGAAGCUUGACUGUGAGACCUACAAGUCGAGCAGGGACGAAAGUCGGUCUUAGUGAUCUGACGGUACUGAGUGGAAAGGCCGUCACUCAACGGAUAAAAGUUACUCUAGGGAUAACAGGCUGAUCUCCCCCAAGAGUUCACAUCGACGGGGAGGUUUGGCACCUCGAUGUCGGCUCAUCGCAUCCUGGGGCUGGAGAAGGUCCCAAGGGUUGGGCUGUUCGCCCAUUAAAGUGGCACGCGAGCUGGGUUCAGAACGUCGCAAGACAGUUCGGUCCCUAUCUGUUGUGGGCGUUUGAGAUUUGAGGAGAUCUGACUCUAGUACGAGAGGACCGGGUCGGACUGACCUCUAGUGUACCUGUUAUGGCGCCAGCUGUAUCGCAGGGUAGCUAUGUCGGGAAGGGAUAAGCGCUGAAAGCAUCUAAGCACGAAACCCACUCCAAGAUUAGAUCUCGUAGGGUCGUGGAAGAUUACCACGUUGAUAGGCUACAGGUGUAAAGGCAGUAAUGUCAUAGCCGAGUAGUACUAAUUACCCAUAGGCUUUCAAAA
This 1722-nucleotide ribosomal RNA is filed under the name freshwater sediment metagenome. RNAcentral describes it as "bacterial LSU rRNA". It matches the Rfam family "Bacterial large subunit ribosomal RNA", at positions 1163 to 2925 of the family's 2925-position model. The record is from RNAcentral.